AUAAACAGUGUCCCAAAUAAUGUCCCUAAUUAUUGUUUGUAGUACUGGUAAGUGGUAACAUAAAAGUUAUGGUAGCAAUACCCCAAAGUGCUUGGGCAUUUUGGGAAACACCCGGUCACGAUUGGAGAUUGCAGCCUCAAUUUCACUCAUGUGACAAACUCCAUAUUUUUGCCUUAAUGUCAGUAUAUUUGUCAAACAAGUAGUUGAACGUGAUGCCUUGUAAAAAUGCUAGAUGGUAUUCAAUAAUCGUACGAAGCAUAAUCACACAUGGUUUCAAUUAAUAGAUUGUGAAAUAGAACAUGUCAAUUUCAAGAACAGUUGUGGCAAAAUUUUCCCAGAUUUUCUUAUUUUAAAAAUUCGUCAAAAGCCCAGGCGUUGCCCGGGGGGGGGGGUAAUGCCUGGAUUUGACUUAUGCAAAUGCUCUAAAAUUUAUUGUACCUUUCCUUUGGACCAAGUUGACUAUAACGAUGACCAUCACGAGUUAUAAACGUUUCGGCCGCAAGAUCCAACGACCAUCUGUUUAGGCACACUGCUGAAAAACCAGGGUGAUCUGUUUAUACACAAAUUACUUCUUUGUCAACUGACCCAGGAUAGCCCAAAUCAUCAACAAAUUCGACACAUUUUUCGAUUUUUCUGCAACAAUAGCAUUCUUUAGCAUUUCAGUGUUGGUUUCCACACCUGCACCUAAAUGACAGUAAACUAAUUUAUACAAUAUGUAAAUAUCCGGAGCCAAACAUG
This is a non-coding RNA of Paramuricea clavata, 738 nucleotides long. NCBI's taxonomy places the organism in Eukaryota, Metazoa, Cnidaria, Anthozoa, Malacalcyonacea, Plexauridae. The record is from the annotation of a GenBank genome assembly.